CAAAUCCCAUGGGCCUCUGCGAAAUGAUAUUUAAAGGACGUCCGUUGUUCGUUUCGGUCUCAUUUUUUCGUGCUCCGGUUAGCGGCACGUGGCUGCACACGGAAGGAUGGCAGUGUACUCUCUUUGCUAUACGGUUAAUCUCAAAGGAGUUCACAGUUUGGAGCCAGGCUAGAUCAAGCUGGUAGUCCAGCAUCCUGUAACAUUCUCUGGAAUUCAAACUCUUCCGGGAUGAAUUGAGUCCAGGAUGUCCUGAUGGCUUGUCUAAAGGAGGAGUUCGUUGCUGCAUUCCACCAGUCUACAACAUUCAGAGGUCCUAAUUACAAUGGAAUGCUUGUUGGUUCAGUGAUCUGGUGUCUGGCCUAGAGAGCACCAAGGAAGCCAAGGAACCCUCCUAGGUCUAUCUUGCGGGGAAAUUAAGCAUGUCUUCACUCCAGGCCAUACUGAAAUGAGGUCUGAGGCAAAAGUGAAGUAACCAGUGUGGAAGGAAUCGUGGUCUGCAAGGACAAAGAAUUUGACUACUUGGAAUGUGUCAUUUUCAUUUUAUUAAUAAAAUUGUUCAGGGGCUGGAGAGAUGACUCAGGUUAAGAGCACUGACUGCUCUUCCAGAGGUCUUGAGUUCAAUUCCCAGCAACCACAUGGUGGCUCACAACCAUCUACAAUUCAAUCUGGUA
Long non-coding RNA from Mesocricetus auratus (golden hamster), 671 nucleotides. RefSeq lists it as uncharacterized. The record is from RefSeq and is a predicted model, not a curated record. Lineage: Eukaryota; Metazoa; Chordata; Mammalia; Rodentia; Cricetidae. The transcript is spliced from 11 exons.